UAGGGAAUCUUCGGCAAUGGGGGGAACCCUGACCGAGCAACGCCGCGUGAGUGAAGAAGGUUUUCGGAUCGUAAAGCUCUGUUGUUAAGGAAGAACGAGUGUGAGAAUGGAAAGUUCAUACUGUGACGGUACUUAACCAGAAAGGGACGGCUAACUACGUGCCAGCAGCCGCGGUAAUACGUAGGUCCCGAGUGUUGUCCGGAUUUAUUGGGCGUAAAGCGAGCGCAGGCGGUUAGAUAAGUCUGAAGUUAAAGGCAGUGGCUCAACCAUUGUAGGCUUUGGAAACUGUUUAACUUGAGUGCAGAAGGGGAGAGUGGAAUUCCAUGUGUAGCGGUGAAAUGCGUAGAUAUAUGGAGGAACACCGGUGGCGAAAGCGGCUCUCUGGUCUGUAACUGACGCCGAGGCUCGAAAGCGUGGGGAGCGAACAGG
Molecule: ribosomal RNA, 429 nt
Filed under: Bacteroidota bacterium
Lineage: Bacteria; Pseudomonadati; Bacteroidota
Description: Bacteroidetes bacterium partial 16S ribosomal RNA
Rfam family: Bacterial small subunit ribosomal RNA
Source: RNAcentral